CGGUCUGGGCUAAUACCCGGGGCUAAUGACGGGACCGUAAGAAUAAGCACCGGCUAACUACGUGCCAGCAGCCGCGGUAAUACGUAGGGUGCAAGCGUUAAUCGGAAUUACUGGGCGUAAAGCGCGCGCAGGCGGGAUGUAAUUUAGGCG
This 150-nucleotide ribosomal RNA is filed under the name uncultured bacterium. RNAcentral describes it as "partial 16S ribosomal RNA". It matches the Rfam family "Bacterial small subunit ribosomal RNA", at positions 446 to 593 of the family's 1533-position model. The record is from RNAcentral.